Molecule: long non-coding RNA, 696 nt
Organism: Pieris rapae (cabbage white)
Lineage: Eukaryota; Metazoa; Arthropoda; Insecta; Lepidoptera; Pieridae
Exons: 3
Source: RefSeq, a predicted model, not a curated record
UAAGCCAGAAAGGAGUCGCCUUUACGCGCGUCCCCCUCUGUCAAAGUACGAACCCGCUGGACAUACCCGUUAUAUAAAACUGUUUCUCGACCCUUCCGCGCCAUUCCGGUACGACGCUUGUUAGUGUAAAGAGCUCCGACAAAAAUGACUGGAUGCAGUGUAUUCGGCUGUAAAAAAAGGUCUGACACAUCGAGUGUACAAAAAGACAACGUGACAUUUCAUCUAUUUCCAAAAGACCCUAUCCGUCGACAACAAUGGAUAAAAGCUUGUGAAAAUCACAGAACAUGGCUACCCAAACGUACAAGUAAAGUUUGCUCCGAUCAUUUUGAUACGUCAUGUUUCUUGUUGCUGGCUAACAACAAAAGAAAAUUAAAGGAAUCAGCAACACCUACUUUUAAAUUACCAAAUGCUGACUUCGAAAAACCAACCGAUUGCCAACCAGCGAAAAAAAUGAGAUUUGAGUCUGAAACCUCGGCUAGUUCACCACCCCACUCAUCAACUUUUCGCUCUGAGUUAUCAACAAAUCAUGUUUCACCUACUACAAGUACUAAUGUUUCUUGUUAUAAAUUGGACCAAGAAACACCACGAAAACGGAAAUUAAGAAGAAUAUUAGUUCAAAAAAACAAACAAAUUAAAAGACUUCAGUCGAAAACACGAUAUUUAAAAAAGAAAGUUGCUAGUUUAAAAGAAAUACUU